RNAcentral lists this ribosomal RNA (433 nucleotides) under uncultured bacterium. Its description in RNAcentral is "partial 16S ribosomal RNA". It matches the Rfam family "Bacterial small subunit ribosomal RNA", at positions 29 to 507 of the family's 1533-position model. The record is from RNAcentral.
AACGAGCGCUGGCGGCAUGCCUAACACAUGCAAGUCGAACGAGACCUUCGGGUCUAGUGGCGCACGGGUGCGUAACGCGUGGGAACCUGCCCUUAGGUUCGGAAUAACUCCCCGAAAGGGGUGCUAAUACCGGAUAAUGUCUUCGGACCAAAGAUUUAUCGCCUUUGGAUGGGCCGGCGUUGGAUUAGCUAGUUGGUAGGGUAAAAGCCUACCAAGGCGACGAUCCAUAGCUGGUCUGAGAGGAUGAUCAGCCACACUGGGACUGAGACACGGCCCAGACUCCUACGGGAGGCAGCAGUGGGUAAUAUUGGACAAUGGGCGAAAGCCUGAUCCAGCACUGCCGCGUGAGUGAUGAAGGCCUUAGGGUUGUAAAGCUCUUUUACCCGGGAUGAUAAUGACAGUACCGGGAGAAUAAGCUCCGGCUAACUCCGUG